RNAcentral lists this ribosomal RNA (428 nucleotides) under Streptomyces xanthophaeus. RNAcentral's name for it is "bacterial SSU rRNA". It matches the Rfam family "Bacterial small subunit ribosomal RNA", at positions 10 to 442 of the family's 1533-position model. The record is from RNAcentral. Lineage: Bacteria; Bacillati; Actinomycetota; Actinomycetes; Kitasatosporales; Streptomycetaceae.
AGUUUNNANNUGGCUCAGGACGAACGCUGGCGGCGUGCUUAACACAUGCAAGUCGAACGAUGAAGCCCUUCGGGGUGGAUUAGUGGCGAACGGGUGAGUAACACGUGGGCAAUCUGCCCUUCACUCUGGGACAAGCCCUGGAAACGGGGUCUAAUACCGGAUACCACUCCUGCCUGCAUGGGCGGGGGUUGAAAGCUCCGGCGGUGAAGGAUGAGCCCGCGGCCUAUCAGCUUGUUGGUGGGGUAAUGGCCCACCAAGGCGACGACGGGUAGCCGGCCUGAGAGGGCGACCGGCCACACUGGGACUGAGACACGGCCCAGACUCCUACGGGAGGCAGCAGUGGGGAAUAUUGCACAAUGGGCGAAAGCCUGAUGCAGCGACGCCGCGUGAGGGAUGACGGCCUUCGGGUUGUAAACCUCUUUCAGCAG